This 402-nucleotide ribosomal RNA is filed under the name uncultured bacterium. RNAcentral's name for it is "bacterial SSU rRNA". It matches the Rfam family "Bacterial small subunit ribosomal RNA", at positions 355 to 774 of the family's 1533-position model. The record is from RNAcentral.
UGGGGAAUAUUGCACAAUGGGGGAAACCCUGAUGCAGCAACGCCGCGUGAGUGAUGACGGCCUUCGGGUUGUAAAGCUCUGUCUUCAGGGACGAUAAUGACGGUACCUGAGGAGGAAGCCACGGCUAACUCCGUGCCAGCAGCCGCGGUAAUACGGAGGGUGCAAGCGUUAUCCGGAUUCACUGGGUUUAAAGGGUGCGUAGGUGGGCAGAUAAGUCAGUGGUGAAAUCCUCCGGCUUAACCGGGAAACUGCCGUUGAUACUAUUUGUCUUGAAUAUUGCGGAGGUAAGCGGAAUAUGUCAUGUAGCGGUGAAAUGCUUAGAUAUGACAUAGAACACCAAUUGCGAAGGCAGCUUACUACACAAUCAUUGACACUGAGGCACGAAAGCGUGGGUAGCGAACA